This 207-nucleotide ribosomal RNA is filed under the name uncultured bacterium. RNAcentral describes it as "partial 16S ribosomal RNA". It matches the Rfam family "Bacterial small subunit ribosomal RNA", at positions 568 to 774 of the family's 1533-position model. The record is from RNAcentral.
CACGUAGGCGGCUCGGCAAAUCAGUCGUGGAAUCCCGUCGCUUACCGGCGGAACGGCGGCUGAAAAUACCGGGCUCGAGGGCGUGAGGGGUCACUGGAACUCUUGGUGAAGCGGUGAAAUGCGUAGAUAUCAAGAGGAACGCCGGAGGCGAAAGCGAGUGACUGGCGCGUUCCUGACGCUGAGGUGCGAAAGCUAGGGGAGCAAACA